RNAcentral lists this ribosomal RNA (831 nucleotides) under uncultured bacterium. RNAcentral describes it as "bacterial SSU rRNA". It matches the Rfam family "Bacterial small subunit ribosomal RNA", at positions 8 to 836 of the family's 1533-position model. The record is from RNAcentral.
AGAGUUUGAUCCUGGCUCAGGAUGAACGCUGGCGGCGUGCUUAACACAUGCAAGUCGAACGAAGCACUCUAUUUGAUUUUCUUCGGAAAUGAAGAUUUUGUGACUGAGUGGCGGACGGGUGAGUAACGCGUGGGUAACCUGCCUCAUACAGGGGGAUAACAGUUGGAAACGACUGCUAAUACCGCAUAAGCGCACGGUAUCGCAUGGUACAGUGUGAAAAACUCCGGUGGUAUGAGAUGGACCCGCGUCUGAUUAGCCAGUUGGUGGGGUAACGGCCUACCAAAGCAACGAUCAGUAGCCGACCUGAGAGGGUGACCGGCCACAUUGGGACUGAGACACGGCCCAAACUCCUACGGGAGGCAGCAGUGGGGAAUAUUGCACAAUGGGGGAAACCCUGAUGCAGCGACGCCGCGUGAACGAAGAAGUAUUUCGGUAUGUAAAGUUCUAUCAGCAGGGAAGAUAAUGACGGUACCUGACUAAGAAGCACCGGCUAAAUACGUGCCAGCAGCCGCGGUAAUACGUAUGGUGCAAGCGUUAUCCGGAUUUACUGGGUGUAAAGGGAGCGCAGGCGGUGCGGCAAGUCUGAUGUGAAAGCCCGGGGCUCAACCCCGGUACUGCAUUGGAAACUGUCGUACUAGAGUGUCGGAGGGGUAAGUGGAAUUCCUAGUGUAGCGGUGAAAUGCGUAGAUAUUAGGAGGAACACCAGUGGCGAAGGCGGCUUACUGGACGAUAACUGACGCUGAGGCUCGAAAGCGUGGGGAGCAAACAGGAUUAGAUACCCUGGUAGUCCACGCCGUAAACGAUGACAUACUAGGUGUUGGAGAGCAUUGC